CUUGCUUCUCUUGAGAGCGGCGGACGGGUGAGUAAUGCCUAGGAAUCUGCCUGGUAGUGGGGGAUAACGUUCGGAAACGGACGCUAAUACCGCAUACGUCCUACGGGAGAAAGCAGGGGACCUUCGGGCCUUGCGCUAUCAGAUGAGCCUAGGUCGGAUUAGCUAGUUGGUGGGGUAAUGGCUCACCAAGGCGACGAUCCGUAACUGGUCUGAGAGGAUGAUCAGUCACACUGGAACUGAGACACGGUCCAGACUCCUACGGGAGGCAGCAGUGGGGAAUAUUGGACAAUGGGCGAAAGCCUGAUCCAGCCAUGCCGCGUGUGUGAAGAAGGUCUUCGGAUUGUAAAGCACUUUAAGUUGGGAGGAAGGGUUGUAGAUUAAUACUCUGCAAUUUUGACGUUACCGACAGAAUAAGCACCGGCUAACUCUGUGCCAGCAGCCGCGGUAAUACAGAGGGUGCAAGCGUUAAUCGGAAUUACUGGGCGUAAAGCGCGCGUAGGUGGUUAGUUAAGUUGGAUGUGAAAUCCCCGGGCUCAACCUGGGAACUGCAUUCAAAACUGACUGACUAGAGUAUGGUAGAGGGUGGUGGAAUUUCCUGUGUAGCGGUGAAAUGCGUAGAUAUAGGAAGGAACACCAGUGGCGAAGGCGACCACCUGGACUGAUACUGACACUGAGGUGCGAAAGCGUGGGGAGCAAAC
RNAcentral lists this ribosomal RNA (698 nucleotides) under Pseudomonas sp. 75-p15_P4. RNAcentral's name for it is "bacterial SSU rRNA". It matches the Rfam family "Bacterial small subunit ribosomal RNA", at positions 79 to 773 of the family's 1533-position model. The record is from RNAcentral. Lineage: Bacteria; Pseudomonadati; Pseudomonadota; Gammaproteobacteria; Pseudomonadales; Pseudomonadaceae. RNAcentral also lists the same sequence under 2 other names.